This 245-nucleotide ribosomal RNA is filed under the name uncultured Lactobacillus sp. Its description in RNAcentral is "partial 16S ribosomal RNA". It matches the Rfam family "Bacterial small subunit ribosomal RNA", at positions 116 to 349 of the family's 1533-position model. Lineage: Bacteria; Bacillati; Bacillota; Bacilli; Lactobacillales; Lactobacillaceae. The record is from RNAcentral.
CGUGGGUAACCUGCCCAAGAGAUCGGGAUAACACCUGGAAACAGAUGCUAAUACCGGAUAACAACAGAUGAUGCCUAUCAACUGUUUAAAAGAUGGUUCUGCUAUCACUCUUGGAUGGACCUGCGGUGCAUUAGCUAGUUGGUAGGGUAACGGCCUACCAAGGCGAUGAUGCAUAGCCGAGUUGAGAGACUGAUCGGCCACAUUGGGACUGAGACACGGCCCAAACUCCUACGGGAGGCGCAGAA